CCCACCUCUCGUAACCAUCAAAGAAUAUUUUCUUCUCUGUUUAAACUAUUUCUCGAGUUCUUAUAAUAGUGGUCUCAUACAAUAUUUGUCCUUUUGCAACUGACUAAUUACACUCAACAUAAGGCUUUCGAGAUUCCUCCAUGUUAUGAAAUGUUUCACAGAUUCAUCACUGUUCUUUAUCGAUGCAUAGUAUCCCAUUGUGUGAAUAUACUAUAAUUUAUUUAUCCAUUCAUCCGUUGAUGGGCACCUUGGUUGCUUCCAUCUUUUUCCUAUUGUAAACAGUGCUGUGAUGAACAUGGGUGUGCAUCUAUCUGUUCGUGUAAGGGCUCUUAUUUCUCUAGAAUAUAUUCCAAGGAGUGGGAUUGCUGCAUUGUAUGGUAGUUCUAUUUCUAGUUUUUUAAGGAAGUGCCAAAUUGAUUUCCAAAGUGGUUGUACCAUUUUACAUUCCCACCAGCAGUGUAGAAGUGUUCCAGUCUCUCCACAACCUCUCCGACAUUUAUUAUUUUGUGCUUUUUGGAUUAAUGCCUUGUUGGCGUGAGAUGGAAUCUCAUUGUAGUUUUGAUUUGCAUUUCUCUAAUGGCUAAUGACUGUGAGCAUUUCCUCAUGUAUCUGCAAGCUGCCUCAAUGUCUUCUUUAGUGAAGUGCCUGUUCAUAUCCUUUGCCCAUUUUUUAAUUGGGUUAUUUGUCUUUUUGUAGUUGAGUUUUUGCAGCAUCAUGUAGAUUUUAGAGAUCAGGGGCUGAUCGGAAAUGUCAUAGCUAAAUUUUUUUUCCCAGUCUGUAGGUAAUCUUUUUACUCUUUUGGUGAAGUCUUUGGAUGAGCAUAGGUGUUUGUAAAUUUAAUUUUCUUAAGUUUAAACUAUAUGUUUAUGCUUGGAUAGUUGGGUGUUAAAGAUUAAAAGGUCUGAAAUACACAUGAAUAUAUAUUAUAAAUGCAUAAUGAUAACAAAAUGUACUUUCAUUGAUAUUUUUCUAAGGUGACACAUUAAAAAAAUUCUGUUCUCCUUUCUACUUGAUUUGAAGUAGCCUGUUAUUUUCUAGAAGACAGAUAUUGCAUUUUAUUGAUCUCAGAGUCCUCAACAGAGUCUAAUACAAUGGUUUAAGCUUGGUUAAAACACACACACAUACACACACACACAAAAAACAGUUGCCAUCAAGUUGAUUCCAACUCAUGGUGGCCCCGUGUGUGUCAGAGUAGAGCUGUACUCUAUAGGGUUUUCGAUGGCUGAUUUUUCAGAAGUAGAUCACCAGGCUUUUUUUUUCAAGGCACCUCUGGGUUGACUUGAAUCUCCAAUCUGUCAGUUAGCAGCUGAGUGGCUGAGUGUGUUAACCGUUUGUCCCAUAGCUAUUCCAUAAGUAUUUAUGACAUUAAAUUGACUUCCUGUUAAUGCUUUUUUUUUUUUUUUUAUUGGGAAGUAGAAUUGCAAAUCAGAUCACUUGAGAUUUUGUUCUGGGUUUAGAUGAUUCUAGGUCUUUUGGUCUGCAAGAAUGGUGCCCCUUAAGUUUGUACAGGGAAUGGGGCCUUGGCUCUAAGGUAAGGCCAAUGGACCAGGAAUGAGAGAAACUCUCCAUUCUUAUUAGGUAUUUCUGUUUUUCAAAGAUAGACUCAUGAUCUUCUAUGCUUUAUCGAAAUUAGUAAGCAUAACAUUUAUUCUGACAUUUGAUAUUUGAUAUGCAUAAGCUUGCCCUACUAUCUUCUAUUUCUAUGAGUGAUCUUUCCAAGAUGCAGAUCCAUGGCAUUCUUCUGUAGCUUCUUAUGGUUUCAGGAUAAAAAUCAUACCCUUUAGCAUUUUUAGCAUGGUUUGCCAUGAAUUACAGUAAGGUUCGUCUUUUGCUACUCUCCAGCUCCCCAGUUUAUUUUCCAGCCAUCCUGAAGUGCUCACAGUCUUCUAGUAAUCAUUCUCUAUGACACUUCUGUAGACCCCCUUGCACUGCAGAGGAGGGAAUGUUCCUUAAUGUAGGGGUAAAAUUCCAUGCAGCCUUCUCAUUUCUUUGGUUGGAGUAUAUUUUGAAGGGAAAAGGCAAUACUUCCUUCCUUCUUUCUCCAUCUCAGCAGGUUUUGAGUUAACAGAGAGAGCAGACAAUGUUUCUUUGUUCCCCUCAACAAAAACUUAGAAGGGAACUUUGGGAUUCAUUGAGUUAUAUGAUUCUCUUGGGUUAAUUGUUUUAAAUUGUGCUCUUCUAGAUCAAUGGCCCUUUUAAAUUGGGCAGUGGAAGCAUUUGUCUUUACAAUGUACGAAGAUACCACAUUUUUUUUUGUCUUGUAAUAGUUAAAAAAAAAAUAGUCAUUCCCCAUAGAAUAUAAAUAAUGGAUUUACAUGAAGGAGUUUACCUCCACAGAACCUUUAAACAGCCUUCAUGUUGUACUUCUGAUGCCUAAAAUACCAAACUUGAAACAAUAAAAGUAGAAAAUCCUUUUUAAUCAAAUUGGGGGAGGGACACUUUGAAAGCCUCCCCCUCUACAUUCCCUUACUUGUUCUUAGGAGGAAGGAAUCAGAAUGUCUGACAUGACUAGUUUUGGUUGCUUUUCUGUAACAGUAAUGCUAACGAAGUAGGAGUGAGUUAAAAGCUUCCUUUUCCAAGAAAUUACCACACUCCUAAGUGAACAGCCUCCCCUUUGCCCCCUCCCCGCUUGCUCACAAACUGGUGUGCCUGAGAUCGGGAAGUUCACUAACACCUCAUUGUGAGUGGGAAGAACAGAACAGAGCGCCAGGGAGCAGGGGAGGACGGGAGGUCAGUGCACUGACCCGGAUUCGGGGGGCUUUGGCUUGUGGAAAAACUUCGCCCAGCUCUGCCAGUUUUCUGUUGCGCGGUAUUGGGGUCUCUGCGCCCUCUGCUGGGCAGAGCAACAAGUAAGCUCCCCGCCGCACCUGGCCGCCUGAAUGUCAAUCUUUCCAUAACCAGGUGCAGAUUUUCCCCUCCCGGGUGACAAACUUCUUGACAAUGCUAUCCCAGUGUAAGAUGAUGAUCAUGAAAACCCAGGCUUGAGUUGUCUACGGCGCUUUGAAGUUUCGUUUGAGCAAACAGACAAGAAGCCAUUGUAUUUUCUACCCCCCAAUCAACUUCAUAGCUACCCAUUUCCUCUGAAUGUGGAAUGUGGCUUUAAUCUUCUUCUCAUGGCAUUCAACUCAAUGGCACAAGACACUAAAAUGUUAUAUAUUUAUGUCCAGGGUAAAUGCAGGCACAAGAAGAAUCAUCUAGUAACCUACAUUUUCCGUUUAACAUACAUAUGCCACAUUCUUUUGGGAGUUGAAGAUUUGACAUAUUUUAAUGGUUUUCCUUACGUUUAACAUAGCUCUUUUCAACAUUAGUAUUCUAAUUUCAGGGAUUAAAAAUGUAUUUGAAUUUCAUGCAUUUAUUUAGUUAUUCAGCAAACAUUGACAGGCACCUACGAUAUACCAAAUGAAUCUCUGGUGGCUCAGUGGUUAAAGCGGUUGGCUGCUAACUGAAAGGCCUUGAGUUCCAACCCACCAGCUGCUCCACUGGAAAAAAAUGUGGCAGUCUGCUUAUUUACAGCCUUGGAAACCCUAUAGGGCAGUUGUACUCUGUCCUGUAGAGUUGCUGUGAUUUGGAAUUAAUUCCAUGGCUGUGGGUUUGAAUUUUUUUUUUUUCACUAUAUACUAGACAUUGUGUAGAACUGGGAAGAGUACUAGGAGAUGGAGAAGGAAAGAGGAUAUCUAAACGCUUGAGAAGUUCAAUCUAGAGGAGGCUUAGACAUGCUAUAUAAAAAGGCAGUAAUAAAGGAAGAGACAAAUUGCUGAGGAAACAUGUUGUUGUUGCUAGGUGCGACCAAGUUGUUUCUGACUCACAGCAACCCUAUGGACAACAGAAGGAAACACUGCCUGGUCCUGCGCCAUCCUCACAAUCAUUGAUAGGCUUGAGCCCAUUGUUGUAGCCACUGUGUCAAUCCAUCUGGUUGAGGGUCUUCCUCUUUUUCGCUCACCCUCCACUUUACCAAGUAUGAUGUUCUUCUCCAGGGACUGGUUCCUCCUGAUAACAUGUCCAAAGUAUGUGAGACAAAGUCUCACCAUCCUUACUUCUAAGGAGCAUUCUGGUUGUACUUCUUCCAAGACAGAUUUGUUCAUUCUUUUGGCAGACCAUGGUAUAUUCAAUAUUCUUUGCCAACACCACAAUUCAAAGCCAUCGAUUCUUCUUUGGCCUUCCUUAUUCAUUGUCCAGCUUUCACAUGCAUAUAUAAAAAAGUGUUUUUUUUUUUUGCACAUGAAGUGAUUGAAAAUAUCAUGCUUUGGGUCAGGCACACCUUACUCCUCAAACUGACUUUGCUUUUCAACACCUUAAAAAGGUCUUUUGCCAGAUUUGCCCAGUGCAACACAUCGUUUGAUUUCCUGACUGCUGCUCCUAUGGGUAUUGAUUGUGGAUCCAAGUAAAAUGAAAUUCUUGACAACUUCAUCUUUUCUCCGUUUUUCUUAUGUUGGUUAUUGGUCCAGUUGUGAAGAUUCUUGUUUUUUUAUGUUGAGGUGCAAUCCAUACUGAAGACUGUAAUCUUUGAUCUUCAUCAGCAAGUGCUUCAAUUCCUCUUCACUUUCAGACAUGUGGGCGAGGAAACAUAGAGGUAGGAAUAACAACACUUUUACAAAGGGUCAGAAGUUAGGAUAUGCUUCACAGGAUGGUAAGAGAAUGGUGUUUGUCUGUUUGUCAGUUAGGCUAGGUAGACAGGAAAGAUUGUAAUUGUACGUUUCAAGAAAUGCUUGGUUUUGAGAAGCUGGAGUCCAGGAAGUGUAAUGUGGUGAGAGGUGAGGCUAGAGUGGGUAGUUUGGAGCCAGAUUGUGAAGUUUAGCAAGCUAAGCAGAUUGGAUUUUAUCCAGUUGGAGGUGGGAAAUCACCAAAAGACUGUAACAGAAGAGUUUGAUGGCUGCUUUUCAUUUUAGAAAUACCUCUCUGGAAUGCAUAGAGGGUGGGGAAUGCCAAAAUAGUGACAAGGAGCUAUUUAGGGAACUGUUACAAUAGAUAAGACAGAAGAUGAUGAUGACAUGAAGAAGGGCAAUGACAGUGAGGAUCCUAGAAAGAGGAUUAACUGAAAAGCUGUUUAAAGGGUGGAAACUGAUUGGACCUGGAGAAUGAGGAAGAAGGAAAAUUUGACUGGUGGAUCAUGAUAUCAGAAAGAGUGGAAAAAGUUUGGUAUAGCAAUAAUGAUGUGAUUUUGGGCAUGUUGAACUUAAGGUGACUGCAUUUAAGGAUGCCUACUAAAUAUGAGACUUGAGCUCAGAGAAAGGAAAUGGCCAGUGGGGGAGAUUUGGGAUUUACCAGCUGGGAGCCUGAGGAAUCAGUGAGAGCAUCCAGGAAGAGUCUCUGUGGAGAGAGAGCGGAAAGAGAGACAAAGACAGAGCACCUCCCACUUCUCUUCUACAUAGUAGAAUAAGAUGAAAAUUUCAUUACUCACUUUUUAAGUAUGAAAUGUUUUUGAUGAUGUGGAUUAGGGUAACAUUUUAUCUUAAUGAAAAACCCAUUCAAAAGUAAAUUAAAAAAAAAUUUCUUUUUUAACUCGUACGUGAUCACGCCUUCAUCUUGGAGUCUAUUAGUUUCAUUAUCUUGGAUUUAAUGACAAUGUAUGUUUCCAGAAAAAAAAAAAAAGCCAUAUUAAAUAAAAAACAAUGUAAAAAUAAACUCUAGAUGACCUUGAUAUAUUCAGGUUAAAGCCACAAUUAAGUUGUAUACCUGAUAAAGCAUCAAAGAUGGAGUUCUUUUUGGGAUGGGCUUUGGCAUGAAAAAUGGAGAAAGAUCUAAUUUGUUCUGAUCUUAAGAGGGAAAUCGACUUUCACUUUUAUCUAUAGUCAUAGGCAUAACUAGUUCUGAAAAAAGUCUCUUAACAAGGUGGGGGGAAUUUAGAGAUUGUGUAGUACAAUUCCAUCUUUUAGACAAGGAAACUACUGCACAUGAAAAGUUUGAGAAAUAUAAAGACUGCAUCCUAUGUCUCUUUGCAGAUUUGUAAUUCACAUUGUCACAUUAAAGGCUCUGAGAAGUUCUGCAGGAAAGAAAAUACUGAUUUUGUUUAACCUAGCAUUUCCUAGUCUUAUUUGAAUAAAAUACCAACCAAAUAUUUCCUAGAGUUUGAAUAAUGGUACUUUUAAGGGUUUCCUUUACAAUCAAGUGGACAGUGUAAGAUUUCAGAGUAUCAGUUCAGUUAGCAAACACUUUUUUUGGCCCCCUAAUUUUUAUAGACUCUGAGUUAGGCACUAAGGACACAUAGCUUAAUCAUAAAAUAAUAAUAAUAAUAGCAACAACAACAAUAAUAAUAGCUAGAACUUGGCGAGUGCUUACUAGGGGCCAGGGUUUUUGCCAAGUAUUUUACAUAUACUAUUUUUUUUUUUAUCUCAUCAAUUUUUUUUUUUUUUUUUUUAUCUCAUCUAGUCCUCACAACCGUGUAAGGGAGAUACUAGUUCCCAUUUUAGAGAUUAGGCAACUAAAGCCCAGAUAAUGAAGUGAUUUUCCAAAGGUCAUAGGCAUAGAGAAUGGCAGAACUGGGAUUCAAAAGUAGUUUUCAUCUGAUACCUAUGCCUACAUCCUUAACUACCAAAGUGCUGUCCUUGAAGACUUUAUGGCCUUAAGUAAUAUCCGUAAACAGUCCCAAGAUGGGCUUCAAGUAUUUCGACUUGAGGACCCCCAAUCUAUGAUUUCUAGUGUUAACCCCUGAUAUUCUGCAUUACACUGAAAUAUGUUCCUCAUUUAAUGGCAGCUAGGGCAAAAAAAAAAAAAAUUUUUUUUUUUUUUUUUUAGGGCAGCCCCUUUCCCUCCGACUCUGUAGCUCUUGGUAUAAAACAUCCCUUUGUUGGGACAUAGUAUCUCGUUUCUUCCACAUUACAUAAUGCAACAUACGUGAAGUGGAUCAGGAUAUAGCUAAUUUACAACUUUCCUAUAUGGUUCCUGAAUGUUCCUUUUCCUUUUUUUUUUUUUUUAAGUGGAAAAAAUGAGCGCUAUAUUUUAAAUCUUCUUUAUACACUCUAGGCAAUACUUAAGCAUUUAACUCUUAGCAAUUUGUGUUUUUAAUGGAAUAGGGUUUUCCUUUUGGGUCAUUUUCAUAGAGUAACUUUGGUUGUCCAAACAUACUCUGAAAUACAUUGGGGAUUAUGGUUUCAACACAUGUAAGCCUAAGGCCAAAGUAUGAGUAACACAUGAUAUUUUGUUACAUUUCAUGAACAAACCACUGUUUUGUGGUAUAAUACAAAACAUAGCUAAGUAGUUUAGAUCAGUAUCAGGCAUUACAAGGUUAGGUUUUCAAUUUAUGUGAUUACUCAAAGCUCAUUAGAAGUAUAUUCUCUAGCUCUAGGGAAUGCCGCCUAGAAAAUUGUGGUUUCCCUUGUGAAAAUGGUAUAUUUUUAGUCCAUUUAUUAUGUUUUUAGCUUAUCUCAAUUCUAUUCCUUUGUACUUUCAGUACAAUAGUUGAAUUCAUAAAUAAACUUACAAAGUCUAUUUUACCAGUAAGCCAAAAAGGGUAAAAAAAAAAAAGAAAAGAAAAGAAAAACACAUUAUUGUUAUUUAUUAACUUAAGCUCUGUCUUUAGAAUGUCACAAACUUUCUAUCGAUGAAGUGCUAAUAUUGCAAAUUAUAUUCUUUAAAUUCUACCAACUGCGAUGUGGUAAAAAAAAAAUAACCAGGAGUCCUAAUAUUUGCUCUAGCCUACACACUAGAAAGCCAGUUUGUCUUUCUGAUUUUUUAGUUUCUUCACUUAGAAAAGGGUCCUAGUAUUAUAUGCCUUGUAUGUGAAAGUUAUUUUCAGAUACAGUAUGAAUAAUAUAUGUAUCGUAUAUAUAUGGGAUCAAUUUACUUGCUAGCUUUGUGAUCUUGAGCUCGUUAUUUAACCUCAUUGAGCUUUGGUUUCCUCAUCUGUAAAACAAUGAUAAUCGUAGUGCCUACCUGGUAGAUUAUUGUGAGAAUUAAACUGGACAAUGUACGUAACACUGGAGACAGAAUCUGAUACGUGGUAGCUUCUCACUGCAUGCUAACUUUGUUCUCCUCUUCCUUAUAAAGAUUUCUAUCAUUUUAUUUUUUCACACACUAGUCCUUAAUUUUGUUUACGUGUGAAUACCUUCAAAAUCACACUUAAAACCCUUAAUAGAAAACAUGGAAAAAUAUGAAUUGUGAAUAUACAGCUGACACCUGAAGAAUUGGGCCUAAUUUGAUCCAGCAAACCUUUACUGAGCUCUUGGUAUGCAUAAUAUAUUGUACUGACUAAUGAGAGUUGAUCUCUUUCUGAAUUCUUGUUAAGUACACAUUUCAAGAUAGGUCAUUUUUCUUUUAGCAAAAUAAGAAUGCGUAAUCAGUAAUGUAAGAGUCAUUACUUAGCGAUAAUUCAUUUCCUUUGGUUUAAAAUGGAAGUACUGACUAUAUUUUCACAACUGAAAUACUGUGUACGGGGCCUUUCCUCUAGAGGGAUUAUAGAGGUCUUGGAGAAAAGGGCAGCAGGAUGUUGUCCCCAAGGAGACAAAUGUGAAGGAAACAAAUUUGUAUACCAUCAAUUUGUGAGUCUUAACUAGGCACACAUUUAUUGAAAUAUUCUUAUAUGUAAUUUUGGAAUAGUCAUUUAAAUGUGGCUGUAUGUCUCUAAUCCCUUUAAUUCGUGGAGACCUUUUCUCUUUUUGCUUUGGCCAUGAGGAAGCUUAAAGCUAAAUCUGUGGCCCAAUUUUAUUCGUCUUACGAUACUUUAGCUUGUGUCUUGGGCCUUAUUUAUCUUGGCCCUGAUUUUGUUAUUUGUCUUUUAUAUUUAUUUUUAAAUUUUAUUGUGUUUCAGGUGAAAUUUACAGCACAAAUUAGUUUUUCAUUCAAAAAUUUAUACACAAAUUCUUUUGUGACAAUGGUUGCAAUCCCUGCAAUGUGUCAGUGCUCUCCCCCUUUCCACUCCAUGUUCCCCUUGUCCCAGGGGCUGAUUAACAAGUAGUGUGGUAUGCAGCGGCUUGCUUUAAGCAAGGUACACACUGACUUAAUUUUAUUUACUUACUAAUCUGUGGUGAGCAAUUUCACAUGGGUUUUACCAUAUCUUUGAUAUGGUGGGGAACAGGUGAAAUUGUGCACUGCAGAUUGGUGGGAAGACACAAUUGGGCCCUUGCAUACCUUGAUAAUAUGGCCCUGCCAUGUCCCUUGGCCCAGUUUUCCUGUCCCCUCUUGCCUUCUCAUCUUGCUUUUAGGCAAGAGUUGCCCAUUUGGUCUCAUAUACUUGAUUGAACUGAGAAGCACAUUUCUCACAUGCGUUAUUGUUUGUUUUACAGGCCCAUCUGAUUUUUUUGGCUGAAAAGCGAGCUUAGGGAGUGGCUUCAGUUCUGUUAGCAGGGUGUCUGGGGGCCACAGUCUCGGAGGUUCCUCUAGUCUCUGUCAGACCAGUGAGUCCGGUCUAUCUUUGUGAAUUUGAAUUUUGUUCUACAUUUUCCUCCUGUUCUGUCUGAGACCUUCUAUUGUGAUUUGUGUCAGAGUGGUGCUGGUAGCUGGGUACCAUCUAGUUCUUCCAGGCUCAGGGCGAUGGAAGCUGUGAUUCAUGUGGUCCUUUAGUCCUCUGGACUAGUAUUUUCCUUUUGUCUUAGGUUUUGUUAAUUUUUCUUUGCUCUGGACCAGGUGGGAUCAAUAGAUGUAUCUUAGAUGGCUGCUUGCAAGCUUUUAAGAACCCAGACACUACUCACCAAAGUAGGAUGUAGAACAUUUUCUUUAUGAACUAUGUUAUGCCAGUUGACCUAGAUGUCUCCCGAGACCAUGGUCCACAGCCCUCAGCCCCACCAAUUUGGUUGCUUGAGGUAUUUGGAUGUGUCUAGGAAAUUUCUACGACUUUGCCUUGGUCAAUUUGUGCUGACUUCCUCUGUGUCGUGUGUUGUCUUUCCCUUCACCAAAGUUGACACUUGCCUACUACUUAGUGAUCUCUUCUACCAACCUCUCCCCUCCCUCAUAACCAUCAAAGGUUGUUUUUUUCUGUGUGUAAACUUUUUCUUGAGUUUUUAUAAUAGUGGUCUCAUGCAAUAUUUGUCCUUUUGUUAUUGACUUAUUUCACUCUGCAUAAUGGCCUCCAGAUUUAUCCAUGUUGUGAGAUGUUUUGGAGAUUCAUCAUGGUUCUUUAUCAAUGCAUAAAUAUUCCAUUGUGUGCGUGUAUCAUAAUUUGUUUAUCCAUUCAUCUGUUGAUGAGCAUCUAGGUUAUUUCCAUGUUUUUGCUAUUGUGAACGGUGCUGCAGUGAACAUGGGUGUGCAUAUGUUUAUUCAUGUGACGCCUCUUAUUCCUCUAGGAUAUAUUCCUAGGUGUGGGAUUGCUGGAUAGUAUGGUAUUUUUAUUUCUAGCUUUUUAAGUAGGCACCAUAUCAUUUUCCACAGUAGUUGUACCAUUUUACAUUCCCACCAGUGGUGCAUAAGAGUUCCAAUCUCCCCACAACUUUCCAGCAUUUAUUAUUUUCUGUUUUUUUGAUUGGUGCCAGUAAUAUUGGGAUGAGAUGGUGUCUCACUGUAGUUUUGAUUUGAAUUUCUUUAAUGGCUAAUGAUUGGAGGAAUUUCCUCAUAUGUCUGUUAGCCACCUAAAUGUCUUCUUUGAUGAAAUGUCUGUUCAUAUUCUUUGCCCAGUUUUUAAUUGUUUGUCUUUUUGUUGUUGAGGUACUGAAGUAUUUUGUAGAUUUAGGGAUUAGACCCUGGUUGGAUAUGUUGUUGCCAAAAAUUUUUCCCCAUUAGUAGGUUCUCUUUUUGCUGUUUUAGUAAUGUCUUUUGAUGAGCAUAAGUGUUUAAUUUCUAAAAGCCUCCAGUUAUCAAGUUUAUCUUCUGGUGUUUGUGCAUUGUUAGUUAUGGCUUGUAUUGUAUUUAUGUCAUGUCAUGUAAUAUUGUUCUUAUUUUUUCUUCCAGGAUCUUUAUUGUUUUUGAUUCAUUUUGAGUUAGUUUUUAUGUAUGGUGUGAAGUAUCGAUCCUGUUUCUUUUUUUUUAGAUAGACUUUCAGUUACGCCAGCACCAUUUAUUAAAAAGAUUGUGUUUUUCCCAUUUAACGGACUUUGGCCCUUUGUCAAAUAUCAGCUGCCCGUAGGUGGAUGGAUUCAUGCCUGGGUUCUUGAUUCUGUUCCAUUGGUCUAUGUAUCUAUUGUUUUACCUGGCUGUUUUGACUACUGUGACUAUCUAGUAGAUUCUAAUAUCAGGUGGUAUGAGGCCUCCCAUUUUGUUUUUCUUGUUCAGUAACGCUUUACUUAUCCAGGGCCUCAUCUGUCUUUUAUUUUAUUGUCUGUUCAUGGUCCAGAAACCUUAUUUAGAGUGUCAGAAACCUAAAUUCUCUAGAGAAACACUAAAAAUUAGUGUAACAGAAUAUAUAUAUCAUGAGUAGCUAUGAUUUGAAUUAGGCAGAGUCACCCAAACUUGUUGGGAAGGUGUUCCAAAAAGACAGUGAAAGUGGGUUGUAUAAGUCAUUGUUACAUUAAUUUCUCAAAAGAUGGCAUCAAAGCACAGGGCAGAUGAUAGAAACAGUCACCGAGGACAUGCGAUACGUCCUAAAACAGCCUAUAGUCAGACCCUGGAUCUGCUGUUUCUCCAAGCUGACUGAACAUAGAUAACUUUCCAAAAGAAUUCAAUGUCUAAGGCAAAACACCCUCUGCUAAGCUGCUUACUAAACUUUUGUUUGACCUGAAGGUGAUGCCAGAGAACCAGUUCCUUCAAGGUUCAAAAAGAUACCUAAGGGCAGAUGGCCUGUAUGGGUCACUGCCAUUCUAUGAAUCCAAACUCUGGAUUCCAGGAGAAUCAAAAUCAUUUUGUUAAGUGAAAGGUAGUAUUAAUAUAAAUACAUAAAUGAAUAAAUAUAUAGGGGAAAAAAUAUAGGAAAACCUUUUGUUUGAAAAGAUCUGGUUCCCAAAUGAGCCAGACGUCUGACAUGUACAGGGUAAGAAAAACAUGGGUCAGCUUACACCUCAUCUGCUCCCCCUUGAAAACUGCAUUUGUUUUGGCAAACCCCAAACUGAGUUUUUGGAAAUGGGGUAUUCUGAGAAGAGACUAGCAAAUCCUCAUGAUUCUGGAUUGCUCCUGGGAUCAGAGUGCUGGUUUGAACAAUGAUCCUGAUUUUUAACAGCUUUUUUUUUUUAUUGUGUGUGGCUCCACUUUGGGCUGGGGGGAUUUAUUUGUUCUUAUGACUUCACAUUCCAUCAUGAGCCUCCAUGUUGGCCCAUGUCAGUUGAAGAUUAACUAUGGUAAUUCUCAAGGCAACUGUGUGCAUGUUAGAGUUUCCAUGUAGAUCAACAUGCCUUCUCUGACCCAGAACCCAGGGCUGGGGAUGGAAGUGGAAUUUGUGGAAGGGCACACACCUUAGACAUUCCCCUAGAGCUAGCUUGGUUCUGGCACAAGGCCUUGACUGCCCACUGUUAACAGGAUAAGUGGGCAACUUCUUGUAUGUUCGUUCUACGAUUUCUGGCUCUCUUCUACAUUUUUAUAGUUAGGGUACAUCAGAUUUAGUAAUAAAACUCCAGAAGGACCAUAUGCUUUGAGAUAUAAUUCCUUUUCCAAUACUGAAAAUGAAAAGGCUACUUAUGAGGCUGUGAAUCUGUAAACAAUCAGUCAUUCCCUUGUUCAAAGUAAAAGCUAGUUAGCAUAAUUUAUUAGCAAAUUCAGUUUUCUGUAAAGUGCCAUUCAUAUUCCCAUAAAAAAAAACUCUGUAUCAAAAUGGUAAGUAAUGACUUAUUCAAAGUAAUACCCAAGGAAGUUUUCCAUUUUAUAUCAUUGAUGGUGGGAUAUGAUUGAAAGGGGCACAAAACAUAUUGGAUGUCCUUUCACAAACUGUAAAAAGUAGAGUUACUGGAUCUUUAUGUGGAGUAUUGGUUUUAUUUUAAAUAAAAUGCUCUCCCUACAUCACAUGUACCCCAUUAUUUCUUUUGGGGCAAUAAUCCUAUGAGAGGAAAACCACAAGAUACACAGAGUUAAGUAAGAUUGCCUACUAGUAGUAGGAGGAGGAGAAACCCUAGUGGUGCAACAGUUAAGCGCUUGGCUACUAACCAAAAGGUUGGUAGUUCGAACCCACCUGGUGUCUCCAUGGGAGAAAUGCGUGGUGAUCUGCCUCUGUAAAGAUCACAGCCAAGAAAACCCUCUCGGGCAAUUCUGCUCUGUCACAUGGGAUUGCGGUGAGUCAAAAUCAACCCGACAGCACCUAACAACAACAACAGUCAGGAGGAGCCCUGGUUGUGCAAUGGUUAAGCUCAGCGCUAACUGAAAGGUUGGCCGUUUGAACCCACCCAGCAGCUCCAUGGGAGAAAGACCUGGUGAUAUGAUCCUACGCUACAGCCUAGAAAACCCUGUGGGGCAGUUCUACCCUUUCACAUGGGGUUGCUAUGAGUUGAAAUCGACUCGCCAGCACCUAACAACAACAACAGCAGUAAUCGUAUAUUAGUAACAAUACUACUAUUAAUAAUUAGUAACAGUACUACUAUUAAUCAUACAAACUUUUCUGAGUAUAUUACAUAUAUAAUCUCAUUUAAACUUCAUCAUCCUAUAGGGCAAGUAUUAUUAUUAUCUCCAUUUCACAACCCUAUAAGGCAGGCAUUUUUAUUAUCCUCAUUUUAUAGGUGAAGAAACUAAGGUGCAGACAAGCAAAGAAAUUUCUCCCAGGUUACAUAGCUUUUAAGUAGUAAAGCUGGUCUUCUGAUCUGGGCAGCCUGCAUAUAUAUAAAGUUGCUGUUUUAACCACUAGGCUAGAGUUGCCUCCCUAGUUAUUUUGUAUUGUUUUUAUUUUAUAACUUAUGUAAGCAGUGCUAGAAACCUUGGUUUUUAAAUAAUUUUUACAAUACACCACUGAUUGGUAACAUCAUCCGUAAAUCACAAUAAUGAUCAUUAUAAUCUAUUAUGAAGUUUGUGUGUGUAUGUGACGUGUCUGAUAACUAACAUUUAUUGAAUACUUACAAUAUGUCAGGCCUUGUCAAAGUGCUUUACAUGCAUUAAAACAUUUAAUUCUACUAUUAUUUAGGUUCUAUUUGGAAUAAUAACAGUAUCUUUUUUUUAUCUCAUAGGUUAUUGUGAUGAUUAGAUAUGCUAAUAUAUGCAGAGUACUUUGAAAUGCAUGAGAUAUAGUAAGUGGUCAAUAAAUGUUAAUAGUUAUUAUCUUUUAUCUUACAGACAAGGAGCCUGAGACUUUAGUAAGGUUAAAUUCUUGCUCACAGGUACUCAGCUGUUCAGAAGCAGAGCCAGACUUUGAACCCGGCAGUCAUGUUGCAGAGUCCACACUCUUAACUACCACACAAGCAAGAAAAAUCAGGGUAUUUAUGAAGUAUACUGUCUUAGGCUACGUUCUCCAGAGAAGCAAAACCAGUAAAGCGUAUAAAUAUAUAGAGAGAGAUUUAUAUCAAGGAAACAGGUCACGCAACUGUAGGGGUUGGAAUGUCCCUAGUCCUUGGAUCAGGAAAGAGUCCUUUCCCAAUUCACGGAGCCGCAGAAGCUGGUGAACCCAAGAUGAGCAGGUUGGAGAGCCGGGAUCUCGUUCACAGGUUGUGACGGUCGAGGAAUCCCCAAGAUUGGCAGGCAAGACCACAAGGUUUCUCCUGAUUCACGUAGCUGCAGGGUCUGGCAAACCCAAGAUAGGCAGGUUGGGAGCAGGACUCUUGCUUGCAAGCUGUGAAGAUCGACGAAUUCCAAGAUGGACAGAGACACCAUGGAAGCCCCACAUUGGAUUGGAGGCUCUUUGGAAUACCUUGCAUAUUCCUUCUUAAAGUAGGUUGAGGAAUAAAUGGGAAGCAAGAAACUGAAGACGCAUAAGGAGGACACAUUACAAAAAAUAAACAAAACCCAAAAGUUGGCUGGCAAUAUUUGGAGGAAAUGAGGGGGAAGGACUGCAUUAGAUACACAAGAAACAAAUAACAAAAUGGCCAAAGUAAGUUCUUCUUUAAUAGUAAUUAUCAUGAAUGUAAACAGAAUAAAUGCUCCGAUCAAAAUGCAGAGAGUUGCAAAAUGGAUUAAAAAAAAUAAACAAGAUCCUACCAAAUGCUGUCUACCAUAGACAUGUCUUAGUCUCAAGGAUGCAAAUAGUUUGAAAGUGAAAGGAUGGUUACUAUUUUCCAUGCAAAUAGACUUUAAGUCAAAAUCUGUUAUAAGAGACAAAGUAGGACAU
Loxodonta africana (African savanna elephant) is the source of this 15034-nucleotide long non-coding RNA. RefSeq lists it as uncharacterized. The transcript is spliced from 4 exons. Lineage: Eukaryota; Metazoa; Chordata; Mammalia; Proboscidea; Elephantidae. The record is from RefSeq and is a predicted model, not a curated record.